RNA transcript from Brassica rapa (field mustard), 3046 nucleotides. It is a transcript of the gene named 2-oxoglutarate and iron-dependent oxygenase JMJD4, with no coding region annotated. The record is from RefSeq and is a predicted model, not a curated record. NCBI's taxonomy places the organism in Eukaryota, Viridiplantae, Streptophyta, Magnoliopsida, Brassicales, Brassicaceae.
UGAUACUCUCUCCUGGGAUUUCUUGUUCUCCUGUCUUCAAGGGUUGGAUGUUCCUGAAAUGGUUCUACAUUGGCUGAGCUCCUGCAUCUGCUCAACAACCUUCAUGGUCAGUUAUAAUGGUACAGUGAAUGGGUACUUCAAAGGAACUAGAGGGCUGAGGCAAGGAGAUCCGCUAUCUCCCUACCUCUUCGUGAUUGCCAUGAACUGUCUAUCCCAUAUGCUUAAUGAGGUUGCUUCUCAGUCUCGACUAAAUUACCAUUCGCAAUGCAAGAAGAUAAAGCUGACUCAUCUAUCAUUCGCUGACGAUCUUCUCAUCUUCAUAGAAGGGAACAUAGAGUCAGUCCAGUGUAUUCUUCAGGUCUUGAAAGAAUUUGAACAGCGAUCGGGUUUAGCUGUAAGCAUGCAGAAGACAAGUUUCUAUGCAUCUGGACUGUCUGAGGAUGAAAUAAAUAGAAUUCAAGUAUCUACAGGUAUGGUUUGUGGAAACUUACCCUUCAGAUAUCUUGGAGUCCCUAUGAACUCUAGGAAGCUCUCCCUUUCUAGCUGUGAGCCUCUUCUGCACCAAAUCAAGAUGAAAUUCUCCUCAUGGUCAACAAAAACGCUAUCAUUCUCAGGGAGACUCUUUCUUAUAAAGACAGUGAUCGCGGGGAUUACCAACUUCUGGUGCUCCUCGUUUGUUCUACCAAAGGCGUGUGUAGCAAAAAUCAACUCAAUGUGUAGUGUCUUCUUAUGGAGAGGUGAUCUUGAAGCCCACAACACUGCUAGGGUGGCUUGGUCGACUGUGACAAAGACAAAGGAAGAGGGUGGGCUGGGAGUAAAAGAUCUCAUCAUCUGGAACAAGGCUUGCUGUUUGCGCUUGAUCUGGCUUCUCUUUUUCAGACCUGACUCGGUAUGGGUGUCCUGGUUGAAAGAAGUUAUACUCAAAGGAUCAGUAUCUAACUACUGGACAACCAACCCUUCUCAAAACUUCUCUUGGAUGACAAACAAACUACUAAAGCUUAAAGAUGUGGCUUACCCUCUUAUCCGCUUGAGAAUCCAGAAUGGUGAAAGCUGUAGGUUUUGGAUUGAUAAUUGUAGUCCCUAUGGGAAACUUCAGGACUACUUAGAUGGAGGGAGAUCAAGACUAGGUAUUCCAAAAAGAGCAACAUUAUCGUCCCUACACUGUGGUGGGAACUGGACACUCCCAUCUGCAAGAACGGACCGCCAACUUCAGGUACUCUCCUUUAUCACUACCGUCCAAUUCAAUGAAGAUCCAAAUUAUUAUGAGUGGGAGAUAUUUGGAAAGGUUGCAAACAAAUACAGUACGGGAGAAGUCUACAACUACCUGAGAGAGAACGUGGAAGUGGUAACUUGGACUAGAGCAAUAUGGGCUACUCGCACCAUCCCAAGACAAAGCUUUCACGUUUGGCUGGUGGCGCUAAACAGGAUACCUACACGAGGCCGGCUGCUGGGUUGUGGCCUCCAAGUCCCUCCUCUUUGUCUCCUCUGCAACACUGCCAAUGAAUCGCGUGAUCAUAUCUACUGGGAAUGUGGGUUCUCUUUCGAUAUGUGGUCUAUAGUUGCCGGUAGAUGCAGGAUAAACCCUCAUCGAACUUGGGAGAGAUCGCUGAUCCAAAUGUCAUCCCUAAUAUCAUCAUCUGCUAACCAGUCGCUCUCUAUUCUUGGAUGGCAGGCAACGAUCUACUGGCUUUGGAAUGAGAGAAACAGCAGAUUGCAUUCGAACCAGUUUCGAUCAGUCGAUUCCAUCUUCUCCAUUAUCGACCACCAAGUGAGGAACAAAAUCUCUAGCUUCAGAGAAGAUAAUCCUAAGCGAUCAUCUGAGAUGAUGCAACUCUGGAUUAGAUGAUCGCCACCGCUUUGGUCUCACCCUUGCCUUCUCCGUCACCAGACAAAUAACUCUUCGAGUUCCCUCUCUGUUCCUUCCAACUGCAAUUGAGCUGUCACUGGGCCUUUCACCAAGGCUGAACCAACUUAGGGCUUCUGGUUCUAAUAUAUGAGUUAAUGGGCUAUGCUCUUUCUACUAGAGCUUAUGGGAUUUUGUAUAACAUUUUCCUUUCUUUUGCAUUUAUAUAUGAAGCCAGUUUCAAAAAAAAAAAGGAAUGAGAAAUACAUACAAAAAAGAAAAUAAAAUAAAAGUAGAAGAGAGAGAAACCAAAAUUUUAAUGAGAGUUAUAGGGCAAGUUGGCUUAGUGGUCUUGACGGAGAAAAAGCCUCAAUACAGAUCUGGGUUCGAUACACGUUGGUCACAUAAUGACUCAGACCCCUUGAAGGUACAGACGCAGCAGGCUGGUUUUGGGUUCAGAGGGAUUAGUCGGUUGGCCAAGACCGCCGGAUCACCUCCUGAUUACUCAAAAAAAAAAAAAAGACUUCGUACCUAUCAAUUUUUUAAUGAUUUAAUUUUCUAAAAAAUAUCAAAAUCUAACUAAAUAGUUAAAACGUACUCUUAGAAUGAGCCAAUAAUAGGCCGCACAAUGAAAGAAUAAUGGGCCGAAUCUUAAAACGUGCUGAACUGAAAGUCUCUCUCUCAACUAGAGUCUCUCCCAUCUUCACGAGUUUCACCUUCCCUUCAAACCUCACCGGCAACUUGAUCGGAGAUUCUCAUUUUUUUUUUUCUCAAGAACCACAGCUUUGGGAGCGAAGCAUAAUAUCUUUAAUGGGGAUCGAGAUUGUAGGUCAAAUCGAUAAAAUAAAUGGUAAAGAGCUGAGCUACAACGACUUUGCGGAGAGAUACUUAGCCAAGAGCCAGCCGGUGGUAAUCUCCGAUCUCACUGAAGAUUGGCGAGUUCGUGAAGAUUGGGUCGCUGAGAAUGGACUCCCUAAUCUCAACUUCUUCGCUACCCACUUCGGAAAGUCCAGAGUUCAGGUUGCAGAUUGUGAUAGGAGAGAGUAUACAGAUCAGAAGAGACUAGAAAUGUCUGUUUUGGACUUUGUUGAGCAAUGGGACAAAGAUUCUGUUGAGGACAAUGGAGAAGAUGGUGAUGAUGAUGAUGAUGAUGAUGAUGAUGGAAAGUCUGUGUUGUAUCUGAAAGACUGGCACUUUGUCAAG